RNAcentral lists this long non-coding RNA (279 nucleotides) under Linum usitatissimum (flax). Its description in RNAcentral is "long non-coding RNA (LUSI_LNC003830)". The record is from RNAcentral. Lineage: Eukaryota; Viridiplantae; Streptophyta; Magnoliopsida; Malpighiales; Linaceae.
CUAACAGCGGAUAAAAUCCACCAUUAAAUUUUCGGUCAGUAAUAAAAAACGCUGAAAUACAGCUGGGUUUCUACGUUUUCGUUCGUCAUUCUUCGUUUUCCACCCAUUUUUCUUCUUCUUCUUCUUCUUCUUCUUAUUCUUUUUAUUCAUCGAUUUUUGUUUUUGUUCUUCUUCGAUUCAUCUUCGAUUUUUCCUCGAUUCCUCUUUUUCGAUUUUUCUUUGAUUCUUUUUCUUCUUUUUUGUUCGAUUCUUCUUCGAUUCCUCUUUUUCUUCUUCCUU